RNAcentral lists this unclassified non-coding RNA (1106 nucleotides) under Hevea brasiliensis (rubber tree). The record is from RNAcentral. Lineage: Eukaryota; Viridiplantae; Streptophyta; Magnoliopsida; Malpighiales; Euphorbiaceae.
GGGAGCUUGAAAUUAUUGGAAAUUUGGGUAUUUAUUUCUGUUACAAACUUUGAAACAAACGAAAUAACUACUGAGUUUGCAUUCUUAGUAUACAACAAUUGGGCGCUUAGGAUACACUACAGUUCCAAAAUUGGUCUUGAUUAUGUACAAUUACAUAUCCAGUGCAUAACAGAAACAAAACAUUACCAAAACCUCAAUUGUCUCGAACACCUAAAAUCGUACCCUGGUCAAGAGAGUAGAGCACCAAACCAUCCACCUCCACACGAUUGGUAGUGAAAAAGCUUAUAGCACAACUACGCUCUUUUGUGUCUUUAAGAAGUUCUCAAUUUGUAUAAGAACCUCUAAAGUAAUUUCAGCAGGUGUAAUAUGACAGACAUCUUUUUCCCUUUUCAAUGCAAUAUUUUCUAGUGAAACCCUGGCACUUGCAUUGGCAUAAUUUUCACCCCUCGUCUCCAUUAAAGUAGUUAACCGCUUCAAAGUCGUAUCAUAAACGUCUCCUGAUUCUUCAUGUAAAAGGGGGCGAGAUUUAGUUCCUUCCGUGGUAAUUCUCUUGGCCAAAGCUUCUAAAGGAACAUCUAACCAAACACUAAUACCCUUGUGCAUAUGCCUCCAAUUAAUGGGACGAACAACUGCACCUCCACCCGUUGAAACAACAAGCCGAUGCAUCAAAGAUAGUUUGUGCAAUACCUCAGUCUCAUUAUCCCUGAAGAAGCUCUCUCCGCGAAGCUCAAAGAUUUCAGCUACAGUAAUUCCACCAACAGCCUGCUCUAUCAGCCUGUCACAGUCAAAAAAGGAAUAUCCCAGUGUUUCUGCCAAAAUCCGGCCCACAGUUGUUUUUCCGCAGCCCAUCAUUCCAACAAGGUAUACACAUCGUCCAUCUAGAUAUUCUUCAACUUCUUCUGCUUUAUUCUUUAAUGUCUCGAUUUCAUCAAUUGAUGCAGAGAAACAUCCUGACUCCAGAACUGAAGCUUGAACAUUUUGAGGAGAACAUGAAACUUUCAACUGUACUCGUCUAUCAGAAUGUGCAGCUUUUCUAGGCUGUAAAUGGCAGGAUACAACUACCCGAUGCCUUGGUUUUUCAUUCCACUUCUCAGAGAAACGCAACA